RNAcentral lists this ribosomal RNA (996 nucleotides) under marine metagenome. RNAcentral's name for it is "bacterial SSU rRNA". It matches the Rfam family "Bacterial small subunit ribosomal RNA", at positions 8 to 1008 of the family's 1533-position model. The record is from RNAcentral.
AGAGUUUGAUCCUGGCUCAGGACGAACGCUGGCGGUGCGCCUUAUGCAUGCAAGUUGAGCGAAGCUUUUUGGUAGUUUACUACUAGAAAUGACUGAGCGGCGAACGGGUGAGUAACGCGUGAGCAAUCUACCUUAGUUACUGGGAUAGCCCGAGGAAACUCGGAUUAAUACCGGAUAUUCUUAUUUUUUCACAUGAAGUUUUAAGGAAAGGUCAGCCGAACUAAGAUGAGCUCGCGUUCUAUCAGCUAGUUGGUGGGGUAAAAGCCUACCAAGGCUACGACGGAUAGCUGGUCUGAGAGGACGAUCAGCCACACUGGGACUGAGACACGGCCCAGACUCCUACGGGAGGCUGCAGCAGGGAAUAUUGUGCAAUGAGCGAAAGCUUGACACAGCGACACCGCGUGUGGGAUGACGGUUCUAGGAUUGUAAACCACUUUCAGGAGGGAAGAAAAUGACGGUACCUCCACAAGAAGACCCGGCCAACUAUGUGCCAGCAGCCGCGGUAAUACAUAGGGGUCAAGCGUUGUCCGGAUUUAUUGGGCGUAAAGAGCUCGUAGGCGGUUCAACAAGUCGGUCGUAAAAGUUUAGGGCUCAACCCUAAAAUGUCGAUCGAUACUGUUGUGACUAGGAUACGGUAGAGGUGAAUGGAAUUCCGAGUGUAGCGGUGAAAUGCGUAGAUAUUCGGAGGAACACCAAUUGCGAAGGCAGUUCACUGGACCGUGAUCGACGCUGAGGAGCGAAAGCUAGGGGAGCAAACAGGAUUAGAUACCCUGGUAGUCCUAGCUGUAAACGAUGGAUACUAGAUGUAGGAACUGGAUUGACGGUUUCUGUAUCGUAGCUAACGCGUUAAGUAUCCCGCCUGGGGAGUACGGUCGCAAGACUAAAACUCAAAGGAAUUGACGGGACCCCGCACAAGCGGCGGAGCAUGCGGCUUAAUUCGAUGAUACCCGUAGAACCUUACCUGGACUUGACAUAUAGGGAAAAACUGGAGAAAUU